This is a long non-coding RNA of Chenopodium quinoa (quinoa), 2647 nucleotides long. RefSeq lists it as uncharacterized. The record is from RefSeq and is a predicted model, not a curated record. NCBI's taxonomy places the organism in Eukaryota, Viridiplantae, Streptophyta, Magnoliopsida, Caryophyllales, Amaranthaceae. The transcript has 2 exons.
UUUUUUUUUUUUUUUUUUAAACACCCAUGCCACCUGCUUAGUGAUUACCAUCUCUCUCACUUCAUCUCUCUAUUAUUAUCAUCCCAACUUAUCGGAUUCCCUGCAAUCAAGAAUGCAUUCCCUUUAUCAUCUUACCAUACAAUUGAAAUACCGCUCACACCGAAAAUGACGCCGAACCUCAUCCGCUGAAAAUUCACUGGAAAAUCUAGAGCCGUUUAUGGGGGUUAGUGCUCAAAGUUGGCUUCCUUUCACUGGGAUUAGAGGGAUGUUCCUCCUACUGGUUUCAAGCACAAAGUCACUGAUAAUCUUCAAAGGUAAUAUCUUUUUUUCAAUUUUAAUUUCAGUUUAUUUUCUAGGGUUUUGAUAAAUUCUGGGUAUUAUUCCAUUAAUUAUUUUCUCCAUUUAUUUUCCCAAAAUUUGAUUGGAUUUGAAAAAAAAAAAAAAAAAAAAAAAAAGCGGGUGAUUAAAGUGAAUGGAGCACCAGGUACUCGAUAUACCAACAUUAUGUUGAUUUUCUUGAGCAUUACACCAUGGAAGCUCCUCAGGCCAGGUGAUCUAUUCACCCCCGCCUCCAAUUCCCCUCAUACAUACAGUAAUGACCCUAUAUGCUAAGGUAAACUCUUAUUUUUGAGAAUUUGAUUUUAAGGUUAUUACAUUUUUCGUAAAUUUUGCAUAAUCUAUACUAAACUUGUCUGUUUUUCUCAUGGUAGUGUAUAUCCCAUUAUAUUGUUGUAAAACAAUCUAGCGCCAUUGGGUUUUUUUUAUCAAGCGCAUUAUUUGAUCAUGUUUGGCUGUUGUUGGUAUCAAGUUGAGCAAAUUUAUCCCUUUAUAAUUGUUGUACAACAUUCCAUCACUUGUUUUGUUCUGAAAACAUGAAAUACUCUUUAGCUAAUAGGUCUAUCUGUCAAUCUGAUUAUAUUCGUCUCUACCGAAAAAACCUGGUACUGGUGGUUCUUUCCCUACUAAGAUAAGUUUGGAUGUUUUGUGCUGUGAUUUGUCUUGGUAAUCACCUAGAUUAGUCUUAAUUCUUGAACCUUUUAUUCCUUUCUAUGACUUCAUAAUUCUGCUAUAUGUUAUGUUCUGUGCUAAGAAGCUCAUUGAUUAAUUACAACUCAUUCAACUCGAUUAAAUUACGAGUCUCAUGGGGUGGGCUGAUCCAUUUUGAUCAAUCAAUUAGUCUUAUAAUUCUUUUUUGCCUGUAUGACUUCAUAAUAUUAUUUUGCAGAGCUUGUGGCUUUAGUAUAAUAUAUUUGUUUCCAUUUUUGCAUUGGACAGAAGUCCUACCGCCUCUCCCAUUGCACGUCUCUUUAAUUAGUUGGUGAAAAUUUCAGUUAUGAGGGUUGUCUCGCUAUUCAAUAUAUCAUUGACUCGCUGAGCUGAUGGAUCUAAUUUAAUAGCAAUAUCUUAUAUCUGUUGCUCUGAUAAUGCAGUUUUCUCAAUUAGUAAUUUGUUCAUGUUAUCGGAAACUAAGAGCCUUGGGGCUCUCCUAAUGAUGCAUGGUUUAUAAGAAAAUAAAAUGCGUUAAUAAGCAAUCAGGGUGUUUCCAUUUCUAAAAGAUAAAUAAAAUCAAGAGCAGUGUCUCUAAUAUUUAUUUCACUGUAUGAAUAGUCUUUGAUAUGCUGAUGGUAUGGUUCAUAUAAAUGCUUUUUCGUCUGUAGCCUUGAAAAUGUAUGUAAAUUUAGUUAUCUAAAUGACAUUUGGCAUGUAGGGGUGUUUAGUUAUCUAAAUGACAUUUGGCAUGUAGCGGUGUUGUUUAGUGGUUAGUCAUAAGAAUCCAUCUUAGCUUGCAAGUUAUUGUUACAUUGUAAUUCUUUUCAUAUUCCAUUCAUUCAAAUUUACCAUCACUUGUAGUUUAUCGUAAUUAUUCUCAAAUUCCAUUCAUUCAUUUGGUGCCAUCAAUUCAAUCUUAAUUAAAACUCAAUACGUGGUAGAGUUUGUAACUGAUAUGCAUGUAAUUUUAACCAAAUGUAUUAUAAUUGAAAUUCUAAUUAUAUAUAUGUACUCUUAUUCUUUGCAAUUAUUGUCAUUUACAAUUUAUUAUAAUUAUUUUCAAAUUUCAUUCAUUCAUUUGGUGUCAUCAAUUCAAUAUAAUUAAAACCCAUCUUGUAUGUGUUGAUGGGGUGGUAAUUUUAAUUUCUCCCUCUUCAAUUUCAUCUUCAUCAAUGGAUGCUCUAGAUCAAGUUUUUGAUCCUUUGAGAAAUUUCAAUGAGGGCAGGAAGGGUCUAGAUGAUAUUGUUCUAGGUAAAUGUUUUUCAAAGAAGAUAGGUGAGGUUGAUAUGAAUGGGAAUAAAAUGCCUUUGUCAACACUGCACAGAAGGCUAUAGAGGCUCUAGAUGAAUAUUUGAAGGAAAGGAGACAACGAGUAGUUCUCUUAUCAAUCCUAACCUACCUUAGAGGUUUAUUGUUAGUUAAAGAUACCACUUUUCUGGUGAGAUUCUGGUGCAUCCUUAUCAUAGCUGCUAUGUUUCGUGAUCUAUCAGGUCACACAAGAUACAAUUCCAGGAAACUCUAAGGCUAUAUUCUUGAAGUCCUGUAAUUUUAGUGUAACUGGAUGUAUGUAGUUUGAGGAUUAUGAAGUCUUUUUGGUGUUUGCUUUUGUAUAUGUAUUCUGUAUUUAUUCUGUUGGAUGUAGCAUUAUUCUCAGUCA